Molecule: non-coding RNA, 452 nt
Organism: Salvelinus fontinalis (brook trout)
Lineage: Eukaryota; Metazoa; Chordata; Actinopteri; Salmoniformes; Salmonidae
Source: the annotation of a RefSeq genome assembly
CUGACACUUUAAGACUGCAGUGUUAUCAUUGUUGUGUCCAGUCUGUUGUCUUCUCAGAGCCACAGAUGAUGAUGAACAUGAUGAAGAUGAUCUCACUGAUUCCACUGCUGAUCACAGUGGGGUUCCUGACUCAGGAGUCAUCUGCACAACGUGUUCUGAAUCAAGCUGAUGAAUCAAAGUCUGUUCGUCUGGGAGAGAGUGUGUCUAUCAAAGCUGUUGCAAGUUCAACUGGUAUUGAUGAUGACAUGAGCUGGUACCUGCAGAAACCUGGACAGGCUCCUAAACUCCUCAUCUAUAAAGUAAAAACCUUUCAGUCUGGAACACCAUCUAGAUUCAGUGGCAGUAGAUCAGGUACUGAGUACACUCUUACAAUCACUGAUGUCCAAGCUGAAGAUGCAGGAGAUUACUAUGGUAUGGGUGUAUAUGGCGCCCCAGAGCGUUUCACACAGUGA